RNAcentral lists this long non-coding RNA (553 nucleotides) under Salvia miltiorrhiza (redroot sage). RNAcentral describes it as "long non-coding RNA (SMIL_LNC003616)". The record is from RNAcentral. Lineage: Eukaryota; Viridiplantae; Streptophyta; Magnoliopsida; Lamiales; Lamiaceae.
CGUUACAAAGAUAAUUUGAUAGAUUUGAAGAUAGAUUUAUGCGGGUUGCAAUCUCUAGUUAAUCCUCUGAUUCUUCUCUUCCAUUUGAUUCUUGAACAAGCUCGAAGGUUCUUGAAAUACUUGAUUUGAUGACGCCAAUCCAAGGGACUUAAGUCAUGAUUUUGGAUUGAACGUUGAACUUGAUUUGAUUUGAUUUGAAGAACGUCCUUAGAAUUUGUAAGAACGCCUUGAAGCUUUGGGACUUGGUUGAUUUGAUUUGAGGAAGAUCGUUCUUGGAAUUUGUAAGAACGCCUUGAAGCUUUCGAACUUGAUUUCUUUGGAUACUUGAAGAUCACUUCAAAGAUUUGCAGGAAUACUUGAAGAGUUUGAAGGAUACUUGAAGAUUUGAACGCUCAAAUACUUGAAGAUUCGAAUGAUACUUGAAGAUUUGAAUUCUCAAAUACUUGAAGAUUCGAAGGAUACUUGAAUGUUGCCUUGAAGAUCUUGAAGAUUUGAAGGAUACUUGAUGAAUACUCGAAGACUUGAUAGAAUUCUUUGAACUCCUCAAUCUUCC